Molecule: ribosomal RNA, 468 nt
Filed under: Triticum aestivum (bread wheat)
Lineage: Eukaryota; Viridiplantae; Streptophyta; Magnoliopsida; Poales; Poaceae
Description: partial small subunit ribosomal RNA
Source: RNAcentral
AUGAAGGCCCCGGCGCUGGAGGUGCUGCCGGCUGAGAAGCCCGUGCGCGAUGAUGAUAAGCGCGAGGGCGUCGCCAACUUGGACACCAUGCUGGCCUUCCCUGAGGACGACGAGCACGACAAGGUAGCGGCGGAGGACGACGCCAAGGCCAGCGCGCAGGACAAGGUGAGCUGCUAUUCAGUUGGGACAGGGAAGACCACCUUCAUGCACCGUCUGGUGUGUCAUAUGCAAGCAUCGGCGAAUAUGAGGCAUUAUGUGCUCAACCUUGACCCUGCGGUGGUGACACUGCCAUUUGGAGCCAACAUUGAUAUCCGUGAUACUGUGCGUUACAAGGAGGCUAUAAAAUUCAAGGCAGUACAAACGUACAACCACUCGGUAAACUGGGUUGUUCCAUUUUUGCGGGUUAUAUCUGUUAUUGAAAAGCUAGCAGACCAACUAGAUUAUGUGCUGAUGGACACCCCAGGGUAG